ACGGUCAAAGGGAAAGGAAGAAGAGGAAUUAUUCCUUAUAUCCGUUUGUUUUUCAUAUUACAUCCGACUAACGGAUGGAAGUUCUUAGCUAGAGUUAUAGAAGGCAUAAGGCGAAAUGUCAGUGCGUAAACUGUAAAAAGUCUAUUCAGAGAACGGGAAGAUAGACUGCAUAUAUCAAAACACGGAUACAAACUGUUAUUCACUUUUGCCACAGUAUGUUUGCAAACAUAUAAAUUGCAGUAAUUCUCAUACACAAAAAUGUGAUUUGAUAAAAGCUUUGGAACCCUAAAUAUCCGAAGCCUUUAUGAGAAGCCUCACCAAAGAAAAAUGUGUACUAUAGCUGUGUUUCGACGCGUCUCUGGCGUAGUGCUAACGCAAGUGUGGCUCCUCCUUCUCCAGGGAGCUCUGCAAGAACUCAGUCCUCUCAGUGUCGGUAAAGCUCGGUGCGAAAAAACUUUUCCGUACUACGGUUCCGGUGAUGGCAGAAAUGACAUUAAUAUUGUGGAUGAUUCUGAGUACUCCGGUUCCGGUGAUGGCAGAAGUGACAUUAACAUUGUGGAUGAUUCUGAGUACUCCGGUUCCGGUGAUGGCAGAAGUGACCUUAAUAUUGUGGAUGAUUCUGAGGUUGACAUGGAAGAGGACUACAGACUCCUCAUUCCCGCGUUUGAGGGUUCUGGAGAUGAUUAUUUAGACAACACCCCACCUCCUCCACUUCCACCUCCUCCACCAGGCUAUCCAGUACCAGGCGUAAAGGGAGAGAAAGGAGAACCAGGCAUGAAAGGAUCGCCAGGCGAGGCUGAUGUCGGACCUCCUGGCCCCCCUGGUCUUCCAGGGCCCCCUGGUAUACCGGGGCGAUCAUAUCUGGAUUGGCCGGAACUUGGAUCUGGUGGUGGCAACGAACUUACGCGAACAUGUUUUUGCAAUAUUUCUUCCGUGACUGCGCUAGUCCGGGAACAGCUGUUCAAAAGGCCGGAAUACGCAAACGAACGAGGAAGCAAGGGAGAUAAAGGAGAUCAAGGGCCUCCUGGCCCGGCCGGACUGCAAGGUGAAAAGGGUGAACCAGGAAAGGAUGGACCGCGUGGCCUUCCUGGGGAGAGGGGUCCGCGGGGUCCCGCAGGACCACCAGGGAUAUUUUAUUCACCAGAAAAAGGAGAAGAAGAUUUCCCUGAGUUUUUACCAGAAACUGCAACCAAGAAGCCUGAGAAGGGUUCCGUUGACCCUGAAGGUUGUAUAGGCGUUUCCGAUGACAAUGGAAUGAAAGGGGUUGACGGGGAAAAAGGUGACAAAGGAGAAAAAGGGCUGCUGGGCGUGCCAGGUCUUAAAGGGUUUCAGGGUGAGCCAGGGAUCCCAGGCAUGAUUGGCGCUCCGGGUCCGCCAGGACCUGCUGGAAAUCAAGGUGUUCGUGGUGAAAAAGGUAACAAAGGUCUGCCGGGAAUAGGGGUGCCAGGAACCCCAGGAACCCCAGGAGGUCUUACCGAAGAAGAACGAAGAAUCGUAAUAGAUGAGCUGUUGGGAUUGCUCGAGGGUGAGAACAGCGGUCUCAGCUUUAACGUGUUUGAGAGUUCUGGACAUUUCCCUUGGUUUGGAGAAGCUGAUCCCAGGCUAACGGGGCCACCAGGACCUAAGGGCAAUCAGGGACCUAAGGGACCUAGAGGACUACCAGGAAAUAUUGGUCCUUCUGGUUCUCCUGGUAAAGAUGGUUUUCCUGGAUCCGUGGGGCCGCCAGGAGAACCAGGUCUUCCCGGGGCGAAAGGUGAUACAGGGUCAGUCGGUACGAAGGGUGACCGCGGUCAUUCUGGGCCACCAGGAGUCCCAGGACCUAUUACUACCCUUAUACAGCCUGAUGGAACAAACAUCACACUUGUCAAGGGUGAAAAGGGCGAACGUGGAAUGAGGGGCAGGCGAGGUCAUCCUGGGUCGUCUGGCCUGUCAGGGCCGAUCGGCGACCUUGGUCUACCGGGUUGGCCGGGUUCUCCUGGUAGACCAGGCCCUCGAGGGCUCCCGGGUUCUGGCAUUAAAGGCGAGGCAGGAACCCCAGGUCUACCCGGACCCCCUGGCCCUCCAGGCCCUCCAGGUUCAUCAGGUCGUACAAAGGGAUUCGACAGCGGUCAUUCAGAUACAUUUUCCGACUUAGCAGUGAGCUAUAAUGCACGGGAGCGGCAAGGACCGCCUGGCCCACCGGGACCUCCUGGACCUCCAGGUCAGGUCAUAGGUGGCCGAAUGUACACUUCGAUUCCAGGACCCCCUGGGCCCCCUGGACCACCUGGGCCGGCGGUUGGCCUGUUAGGAGUCAAGGGCAGUUCGAGGAACACUCAGGCAUCGAUGACGGGAGACAAGUGCCUUAUAUAUCUGGCAGCAUCGGCAAAACCAAUCCUGAACAAGGUUCCUAUGGCCCUUCUUGGAGAUCAAGAGAUAACAUUAAUGAAGAGUUAAACGUGAAAAAGAUAACUGAAGGCUUUGUAACAGCAACAAACAAGCAGGCAAUGUUAAAGAUUAGUGAAGUUUCUCCGCCGGGCACACUUGUGUUUUUGACAGAUGAGGAAGCUUUGCUUGUUAGAAUUGUUAGCGGGUGGCGGUAUGUCUCU
This 2585-nucleotide unclassified non-coding RNA is filed under the name Penaeus chinensis. RNAcentral's name for it is "collagen alpha-1(X) chain-like, transcript variant X1". Lineage: Eukaryota; Metazoa; Arthropoda; Malacostraca; Decapoda; Penaeidae. The record is from RNAcentral.